CUAGGACGCGCAAGGAUCAUUACUCGAGCUUGAUUCGAGCUCCGGCUCGACUCUCCCACCCCAUGGUGUACCUACCUCUGAUUGCUUUGGCGGGCCGCGGGUCCUCCGCACCGACCCCCGCUUCGGGGGGCCGGCCAGCGCCCGCCAGAGGACCACAAAACUCCAGUCAGUAAACGUCGCAGUCUGAGAAACAAGUUAAUAAACUAAAACUUUCAACAACGGAUCUCUUGGUUCUGGCAUCGAUGAAGAACGCAGCGAAAUGCGAUAAGUAAUGUGAAUUGCAGAAUUCAGUGAAUCAUCGAAUCUUUGAACGCACAUUGCGCCCCUUGGUAUUCCGAGGGGCAUGCCUGUUCGAGCGUCAUUUCAACCCUCAAGCUCUGCUUGGUAUUGGGCUCCGUCCUCUUGUGGACGCGCCUCGAAGACCUCGGCGGUGGCGUCUUGCCUCAAGCGUAGUAGAAAACACCUCGCUUUGGAGCGCACGGCGUCGCCCGCCGGACGAACCUUUGAAUUUUUCUCAAGGUUGACCUCGGAUCAGUGUAGGGAUACCCG
RNAcentral lists this ribosomal RNA (549 nucleotides) under Neofusicoccum luteum. RNAcentral's name for it is "eukaryotic LSU rRNA". The stretch from base 208 to 361 matches the Rfam family "5.8S ribosomal RNA". The record is from RNAcentral. Lineage: Eukaryota; Fungi; Ascomycota; Dothideomycetes; Botryosphaeriales; Botryosphaeriaceae.